RNAcentral lists this ribosomal RNA (2902 nucleotides) under Enterobacter cancerogenus. Its description in RNAcentral is "23S ribosomal RNA". It matches the Rfam family "Bacterial large subunit ribosomal RNA". Lineage: Bacteria; Pseudomonadati; Pseudomonadota; Gammaproteobacteria; Enterobacterales; Enterobacteriaceae. The record is from RNAcentral.
UUAAGCGACUAAGCGUACACGGUGGAUGCCCUGGCAGUCAGAGGCGAUGAAGGACGUGCUAAUCUGCGAAAAGCGACGGCGAGGUGAUAUGAACCCUUGACCCGUCGAUGUCCGAAUGGGGAAACCCAGUGCAAUCCGUUGCACUAUCGUUAACUGAAUACAUAGGUUAACGAGGCGAACCGGGGGAACUGAAACAUCUAAGUACCCCGAGGAAAAGAAAUCAACCGAGAUUCCCCCAGUAGCGGCGAGCGAACGGGGAGCAGCCGGAGUCUGAAUCAGCUUGUGUGUUAGUGGAACGGUCUGGAAAGUCCGACGGUACAGGGUGAUAGUCCCGUACACGAAAGCACACUUGCUGUGAACUCGAAGAGUAGGGCGGGACACGUGGUAUCCUGUCUGAAUAUGGGGGGACCAUCCUCCAAGGCUAAAUACUCCUGACUGACCGAUAGUGAACCAGUACCGUGAGGGAAAGGCGAAAAGAACCCCGGCGAGGGGAGUGAAAAAGAACCUGAAACCGUGUACGUACAAGCAGUGGGAGCCUCUUUUAUGGGGUGACUGCGUACCUUUUGUAUAAUGGGUCAGCGACUUAUAUUCUGUAGCAAGGUUAACCGUAUAGGGGAGCCGAAGGGAAACCGAGUCUUAACUGGGCGUUAAGUUGCAGGGUAUAGACCCGAAACCCGGUGAUCUAGCCAUGGGCAGGUUGAAGGUUGGGUAACACUAACUGGAGGACCGAACCGACUAAUGUUGAAAAAUUAGCGGAUGACCUGUGGCUGGGGGUGAAAGGCCAAUCAAACCGGGAGAUAGCUGGUUCUCCCCGAAAGCUAUUUAGGUAGCGCCUCGUGAACUCAUCUUCGGGGGUAGAGCACUGUUUCGGCUAGGGGGCCAUCCCGGCUUACCAACCCGAUGCAAACUACGAAUACCGAAGAAUGUUAUCACGGGAGACACACGGCGGGUGCUAACGUCCGUCGUGAAGAGGGAAACAACCCAGACCGCCAGCUAAGGUCCCAAAGUCAUGGUUAAGUGGGAAACGAUGUGGGAAGGCACAGACAGCCAGGAUGUUGGCUUAGAAGCAGCCAUCAUUUAAAGAAAGCGUAAUAGCUCACUGGUCGAGUCGGCCUGCGCGGAAGAUGUAACGGGGCUAAACCAUGCACCGAAGCUGCGGCAGCGACACUAUGUGUUGUUGGGUAGGGGAGCGUUCUGUAAGCCGUUGAAGGUGUGCUGUGAGGCAUGCUGGAGGUAUCAGAAGUGCGAAUGCUGACAUAAGUAACGAUAAAGCGGGUGAAAAGCCCGCUCGCCGGAAGACCAAGGGUUCCUGUCCAACGUUAAUCGGGGCAGGGUGAGUCGACCCCUAAGGCGAGGCCGAAAGGCGUAGUCGAUGGGAAACAGGUUAAUAUUCCUGUACUUGGUGUUACUGCGAAGGGGGGACGGAGAAGGCUAUGUUAGCCGGGCGACGGUUGUCCCGGUUUAAGCAUGUAGGCGGAGGUUCCAGGUAAAUCCGGUACCUUUUAACGCUGAGGUGUGAUGACGAGGCACUACGGUGCUGAAGUAACAAAUGCCCUGCUUCCAGGAAAAGCCUCUAAGCAUCAGGUAACACGAAAUCGUACCCCAAACCGACACAGGUGGUCAGGUAGAGAAUACCAAGGCGCUUGAGAGAACUCGGGUGAAGGAACUAGGCAAAAUGGUGCCGUAACUUCGGGAGAAGGCACGCUGAUAUGUAGGUGAAGUCCCUGCGGAUGGAGCUGAAAUCAGUCGAAGAUACCAGCUGGCUGCAACUGUUUAUUAAAAACACAGCACUGUGCAAACACGAAAGUGGACGUAUACGGUGUGACGCCUGCCCGGUGCCGGAAGGUUAAUUGAUGGGGUUAGCGGCAACGCGAAGCUCUUGAUCGAAGCCCCGGUAAACGGCGGCCGUAACUAUAACGGUCCUAAGGUAGCGAAAUUCCUUGUCGGGUAAGUUCCGACCUGCACGAAUGGCGUAAUGAUGGCCAGGCUGUCUCCACCCGAGACUCAGUGAAAUUGAACUCGCUGUGAAGAUGCAGUGUACCCGCGGCAAGACGGAAAGACCCCGUGAACCUUUACUAUAGCUUGACACUGAACACUGGUCCUUGAUGUGUAGGAUAGGUGGGAGGCUUUGAAGCGUGGACGCCAGUCUGCGUGGAGCCAUCCUUGAAAUACCACCCUUUAAUGGCUGGUGUUCUAACGUGGACCCGUAAUCCGGGUUGCGGACAGUGUCUGGUGGGUAGUUUGACUGGGGCGGUCUCCUCCCAAAGAGUAACGGAGGAGCACGAAGGUUAGCUAAUCCUGGUCGGACAUCAGGAGGUUAGUGCAAUGGCAUAAGCUAGCUUGACUGCGAGAGUGACGGCUCGAGCAGGUGCGAAAGCAGGUCAUAGUGAUCCGGUGGUUCUGAAUGGAAGGGCCAUCGCUCAACGGAUAAAAGGUACUCCGGGGAUAACAGGCUGAUACCGCCCAAGAGUUCAUAUCGACGGCGGUGUUUGGCACCUCGAUGUCGGCUCAUCACAUCCUGGGGCUGAAGUAGGUCCCAAGGGUAUGGCUGUUCGCCAUUUAAAGUGGUACGCGAGCUGGGUUUAGAACGUCGUGAGACAGUUCGGUCCCUAUCUGCCGUGGGCGCUGGAGAAUUGAGGGGGGCUGCUCCUAGUACGAGAGGACCGGAGUGGACGCAUCACUGGUGUUCGGGUUGUCAUGCCAAUGGCACUGCCCGGUAGCUAAAUGCGGAAGAGAUAAGUGCUGAAAGCAUCUAAGCACGAAACUUGCCCCGAGAUGAGUUCUCCCUGAGACUUUAAGUCUCCUGAAGGAACGUUGAAGACGACGACGUUGAUAGGUCGGGUGUGUAAGCGCAGCGAUGCGUUGAGCUAACCGAUACUAAUGAACCGUGAGGCUUAACCUU